This is a long non-coding RNA of Macaca mulatta (Rhesus monkey), 2061 nucleotides long. Lineage: Eukaryota; Metazoa; Chordata; Mammalia; Primates; Cercopithecidae. The record is from Ensembl.
UAAUGAGUUCUGACAGUCUGAUUUUUAGAAGCAUAUUUGUAGAUAUUUGACACUAAGUAGCUAUGCUUCUACUUAUGUUAAAGAGAACUCUCACUUCUCUGACAGAAUAAUAGUGUAGAAUUCUUUGUAAAAAAUAGAUAAUUUGAUGUACAGUUGUUUUUCAAGAUUAUUUCAAAACACUUCCUUUUCUUAAAAAUGAGUAGUAAAUAUUUUCUUAAUUUAGUUAAAAUCCUGUUUCUCUUUAUUUUUUAAAGCUGUCGUGUCAUGAGAGAGCCAAGAUUCUUUGAACAUAUUUAACUGCUGGAGGGAAUGGCUCAGAAUCCCAAGUAUCAGCUUCAGCACAUUUACAUCUGGAUUCACUUGAGAAGCAAGGCCUCCAAAGCAGUCCCUUAUCAACCAGAAAUGUCUCACCAUGUCAAAACUGAAAACCCAAAAUUAAAGGUACAUAAGGGAAGAGGCCACCUGUGUGCAGUGACUCACUGUGGUAACCCUGACCACUGGAGAAAUAUGGAUCAAUGAAUAUCAGACUCUUCGGCAUGUCAAACAGACAAAUCAUUGCUCUUCCUGUGGAAAGGAACAAAUGAGAUUUUAAAGGUAACAUAGGUGCUUUUAACCAACACUUCUGAGAGAGCAGAAGCUCCAUUUUACAGACCAGUGGGAAAAGAUACAGAGAGGAAGUGGCUUCUCCCAAACUACAAACUGAAACACCCUUAUUUUACUUACAAUGUUGGUAAAAGAACCCACCUGAAUAUGGGAAAUUUUAGCUAGUCUUGUGGGGUACUAAGAGGUUCCGAGUUCAUUACAGAGAAGGAUGUGAGACAAUGGAGUGUGGGCAAUGUGGUGGGAACUCACAUUUGUGGAGCACCAACUGUGUCAAAUACCAUGUUAGGCUCUUACUACCUUAUUUUCUAAGGGUAGGCAGCUCAGAAAAGAGAAGUAAGGCACAAGUCUAAGUCAUUUGAGAGUCAAAUAGGAAUAUUCUUCCAUUAUACUAUGCUGUUACUCUAAAUACUACUGCUACCUUUGGACUUAUGGACAAAGCUCUCUAAAGAAUAGCAUCUUACUACCAUUGCAAAGAUGAGUAGUCCUGCGAAAAAUGAUUCAUACUUGCAAAGUACUGGCAGCAGUCCAAAUGCUCAUCAAUGGACACAUGAAUAAAAAAAGUGGUAGUUUCAUAUAAUAGAAUACUAUUCAACAACCAAAAGGAAGGGACUACUGAUAAAUACAACAACAUGGGAAAAACUCUAAAAAAUUAUGCUGAGUGAAAGAAGACAGUCACAAGGCUCAUAUUUUAUCUUAUGAUUACAUUAACAUAAAAAGUUCAAAAAGGCAAAUCUAUGGAGGCAAAAAGUUUGCCUAGGGUUGAUUGUAGGGAGGUAGAAAUUGAGUGCAAAUGGGCAUGAGGGAACUUUUUGGUGGAAAAGCUUCUAAAAUUGGAUAUGAUGGUGGUUGUAAAAUUCUAUAAAUUUAAAAAUAAUUGAAUUGUACACUUAAAGUGGAUAAAUUUUAUGGUGUAUAAGAUUAACUUUCUUCCAAUCAAAAAGGCAGAAUUCACUCUGAAUUGGACAGUAGACAAAGGAAUUGUGGGUGUGGUUUCCUUUUCCCUUGUUCAUUCCUAAAUUAGUAGCAACCACCUGGCUCCAGCAGGCCUUGCAGUAAAAUGCUUGACAAAUGGUAUCUUGGCGAAUAUAUCCAAUAGUCCUCUGAUGAAGACCGAUAGUGGCAAAGACUAAUCAGCUGCUUACCAAACCCAUUUCCUCUUUUCUCAGGCACAGAGGGAGACAUAGUGUCCCAAUGUCUCUUGCAGUUGGGGUGGCUGUGAGACAGAGUACUGAGUUCAAUGGUCAGAGAAAUGGAGUCAGAAAUGAUUGUGCUGCUUCCACGCACAGUCCAUUAGAAGUUUGUCACACAUGAGCCUCCUAUUUAUUGUUCCAGUCUGCAAGUUGGAAAUCCAUGCCCAGGGAGACCUCAGAACUAAGUGUUAAAAAAUGGCAGGGCCAUAAGUUGAAGGAACUUGGAUUUCUGGGUCACUUCUUAUGGGAGAGGCCCCAGUUAUCAGAA